RNAcentral lists this non-coding RNA (26 nucleotides) under Homo sapiens (human). The record is from RNAcentral. Lineage: Eukaryota; Metazoa; Chordata; Mammalia; Primates; Hominidae.
UGCCAGCUAAGUGACUUUUAGAGUAA